GUUCCCUGAGAGGCCAUACAGGAGCCUGAGGUAGCAUUCAGAACAUCAGUACAGUCAGCUGGGAUGUUUAGUGUUGUAAAGGAACCCAGGAGGCAUGUGGCGUUUUCCUAUGCCUCUGUUGGGCGCUGUACCGAUAAGCUAAUUCCCCAGCCCCUGGAUCUACUAUUUGGAGGACCUGAUGGGUGCUGUUAACUAAGCACAAGAGGUCAG
RNAcentral lists this long non-coding RNA (210 nucleotides) under Chinchilla lanigera (long-tailed chinchilla). RNAcentral's name for it is "lncRNA (ENSCLAG00000025424.1)". The record is from RNAcentral. Lineage: Eukaryota; Metazoa; Chordata; Mammalia; Rodentia; Chinchillidae.